GAAAUAAAGGAAAUGACUAAAAUUCCAUUAAAGCAAGAAUGCUGAAGAAACCACCCCUUCCCUGAAGAAGCAUCUUGGCUGGCAGGUGCCAUUCUGCUUCCUGAGAACUGGAUGAAAAUCUUCCACCAGAGCAGAGAUCCUGUUUAAGAAGCAGGAAACUGUUGGUGAGUCUGGAAGAGUGGGACAAACUAAGCAGAGCGGGCCAUUGACAAUGAUGAAGCGGAAACAUCCUGAGAACCUUGCAUGCUGAAGUAAGAAAUGCUGACAAAUAAGAUCCUGUGAAGAGCUGUGAAA
RNAcentral lists this long non-coding RNA (294 nucleotides) under Struthio camelus australis. Its description in RNAcentral is "lncRNA (ENSSCUG00000006373.1)". The record is from RNAcentral. Lineage: Eukaryota; Metazoa; Chordata; Aves; Struthioniformes; Struthionidae.